CUCCUAUUUUUUUUUUUUUUGGUAUGUUUUUGAGAGAUGUGAAGGAAAGAAAAGUACACCAUUUUCCCCCUAGAAUAAGAUUUUGGAUCAUUGUUGCAUUUGAUUACAUAUUUCUGCAAACUCUGUGUUCUUGAAGAAAAAUAUAUUUUUUUCAUGUUUUUUUUUUAAAUGGAUGCCUAUACCAAAAUUUGGCUCUCAUUUCACAGCAGAAAGGAGAGAAUGCAUGGAUCCCCAAACUAUGAGCUGUAUGCAUUCCUCCUGCAAACUAUCCCCUCAUCAGGCAGGCAUUAAAAGUGUCUCAUUUUUGAGGUUAUAUUAAAUCUUUUUAUACUUCCCUUUCUGUCCUGGAUGUAACAUGUCAGGAUGCAGCCAGAAUAGGUGGAACAUACCAUAGAGACUGUUGGUUGGUGCAGAGGGAGACACAGAGUUUGAUCAAGACCUGCUUGCUGAGGUGGGCUGGAGCCCAGGAGAGCUGCUGCAGGGAUAGGAACAGAGUCUGGCAGGAAAUGUGUAAUAUUUAGGGGACAUUGAUUCAGAGAUCCCUAGAGUGCUACAAGAAAGAGUUUGAAAUUGAGAAGGAAUAAAGUAGAUGCACAAUCUGACUCUAACAUUAAUUUUCAUUGGAGUUCUUUAAGAUUUCAUUUGAAAAAAAUAGAAUUCUGUUGCAAGAAGAAAGAAGUAAAGGAAAGAGAAUAAUUAGACGAUGAUGAUGAUGAUGAUGAUGAUGAUGAUGAUGAUGAUGAUGAUUUUGGGACUGGGGAGUAAUCCAGGGGUGCUUAACCACUGAGCUAUAUCCACAGCCCUUUUUGUAUUUUAUUUAGCGACAGGGUCUCACUAAAUUACUUAGGGCCUCCCUAAGUUGCUGAGGCUUGCUUUUAAAUCAUGAUUCUUCUGUCUUAGCCUCCAGAGCUGCCGGUAUUACAGAUGUGUGGCACCAUCUUAAUAAUUAUUGAGACAGUUUAAAAUAGGAUAGUCUGGUUCACAAUAUGUCAUCCAUAUUGUCAGUGCUUGGCACAUAGUGGGCAUUUGGUGCAUAAUUCAGCAAUUUCACUUAAAAAUGUCUGAAUAAAUAAAUGAAAGUCUCACGGAUACGUUGUUAACAGGUAAGCUGAGACUAUGUAAUGGAAUAUAUCAACAGAUAAACAGAGAACAGUGUUGAUUAAUUCAAAAGGUAAAAAGGCAGACAGGUAGUGCCUAAAUCUGCUGACUGGAAGUAAGGUCCUAGACAUUGGUGCACAGUCUGGGGCCUGGAUAGAAUUAUGGGUAUCGGGCAGGCUGAAUUAUGACAGCAGACAAAGCAGGGAUUGACCUAACACUUGCAGCAAAAUGGGAAUGCAGUUUUCAAAGGUGACACUAGGCUAGGGGCAGACUUUCAGAAGGCGGACUCAAGUACUUAAGUUGGUCCCACCUAAUCUGAUCAAGGUAGGCUCUGGGAGCUGAGUUGAAUUGGCAAACAAUCUCAGUCAUGAUUAGAACUUGGGGACAGAAGCUAAAAUCCAGCCUGGGUUUUCACUUAAUCUCUUUUCCCAUGUUACCAGCAAUAAACUCAGUUUCCUAAGUUUAUUCAGCAAUUUCUUUUAUCUUUAAAAAGGUCUCAUUGGGGAAAAAUCAUAGCUGGGUAAGGGAAAAGGUGACUUUUAGAGGCAAGAGAAAGAAUUGAGGGAACUCUAUAAGCCAUUUCACAUCUCACAUCGAAGAGUUUGAAAGCCACUGAUACAAUACCUACCAGGUAACUUCUUCACAUUCACAGUUAUCACGAGUGAAUGAAGUAAAUUAACUUUCUUGACAAAAAGUCUGAUCACACAAAACAAAAUGUUCUUUAUCAGAGUGCCAUGAAAUAUGGAGCAUUCUCUACAAUGCAAUAAGACAGUAUUUACCAAGAAGAUUAAGAUUAUACUUUUAUUUAAUUAAUGUUUACUAUGAGACUGUACAUGCUCAUGAUAAAAUAUUUAAACAGUGUAGAAAUAAAGUAAAUGUGGUCUUCUUCCUUUGUUCAGUAUCAUUCACAAGAAUGUCAAAAAGUGUGUUAUAAAUGGCAUUAAAAUAUUCUAUAAAUAAGCAAAUGUAUGUGU
RNAcentral lists this long non-coding RNA (2072 nucleotides) under Marmota monax (woodchuck). The record is from RNAcentral. Lineage: Eukaryota; Metazoa; Chordata; Mammalia; Rodentia; Sciuridae.